This 253-nucleotide ribosomal RNA is filed under the name uncultured bacterium. RNAcentral describes it as "partial 16S ribosomal RNA". It matches the Rfam family "Bacterial small subunit ribosomal RNA", at positions 524 to 776 of the family's 1533-position model. The record is from RNAcentral.
GACAGAGGUGCCGAGCGUUAGGCGGAAUCACUGGGCUUAAAGCGUGUGUAGGCGGAUCUGUAAGUACCUUGUGAAAUCCCACGGCUCAACCGUGGAACUGCUUGGUAUACUGCGGGUCUUGAGCCACCUAGGGGCAAGUGGAACAAGUGGUGGAGCGGUGAAAUGCGUAGAUAUCACUUGGAACGCCAAUGGUGAAAACAGAUAGCUGGGGUUGUGCUGACACUGAGACACGAAAGCCAGGGGAGCAAACGGG